GAUGAACGCUGGCGGCGUGCCUAAUACAUGCAAGUCGAACGCAUAGCGAAAGGUACUUGCCCCUUUCAGGUGAGUGGCGACCGGGUGAGUAACACUUGGACAACCUGCCUCAAGGCUGGGGAUAACACUUGGAAACAGAUGCUAUUACCGAAUAAAACUUAGUGUCGCAUGACACAAAGUUAAAAGGCGCUUCGGCGUCACCUAGAGAUGGAUCCGCGGUGCAUUAGUUAGUUGGUGGGGUAAAGGCCUACCAGGACAAUGAUGCAUAGCCGAGUUGAGAGACUGAUCGGCCACAUUGGGACUGAGACACGGCCCAGACUCCUACGGGAGGCUGCAGUAGGGAAUCUUCCACAAUGGGCGAAAGCCUGAUGGAGCAACGCCGCGUGUGUGAUGAAGGCCUUCGGGUCGUAAAGCACUGUUGUAUGGGAAGAACAGCUGGAAUAGGAAAUGAUUUUAGUUUGACGGUACCAAACCAGAAAGCGACGGCUAAAUACGUG
RNAcentral lists this ribosomal RNA (497 nucleotides) under uncultured bacterium. RNAcentral's name for it is "partial 16S ribosomal RNA". It matches the Rfam family "Bacterial small subunit ribosomal RNA", at positions 28 to 507 of the family's 1533-position model. The record is from RNAcentral.